CUACCUGCAGUCGGACGGUAGCACAGAGAGCUUGCUCUUGGGUGACGAGUGGCGGACGGGUGAGUAAUGUCUGGGGAUCUGCCCGAUAGAGGGGGAUAACCACUGGAAACGGUGGCUAAUACCGCAUAACGUCGCAAGACCAAAGAGGGGGACCUUCGGGCCUCUCACUAUCGGAUGAACCCAGAUGGGAUUAGCUAGUAGGCGGGGUAAUGGCCCACCUAGGCGACGAUCCCUAGCUGGUCUGAGAGGAUGACCAGCCACACUGGAACUGAGACACGGUCCAGACUCCUACGGGAGGCAGCAGUGGGGAAUAUUGCACAAUGGGCGCAAGCCUGAUGCAGCCAUGCCGCGUGUAUGAAGAAGGCCUUCGGGUUGUAAAGUACUUUCAGCGGGGAGGAAGGCGGUGAGG
This 409-nucleotide ribosomal RNA is filed under the name uncultured bacterium. RNAcentral's name for it is "bacterial SSU rRNA". It matches the Rfam family "Bacterial small subunit ribosomal RNA", at positions 51 to 459 of the family's 1533-position model. The record is from RNAcentral.